GUCUACAGCCACGCCACCCUGAACAAGCCCGAUCCCGUCUGACCUCGGAAGCUAAGCAGGAACGGCCUGGUUAGUACUUGGAUGGGAGACCACCUAGGAAGACCAGGUGCUGUAGGCA
RNAcentral lists this ribosomal RNA (118 nucleotides) under Pteropus alecto (black flying fox). Lineage: Eukaryota; Metazoa; Chordata; Mammalia; Chiroptera; Pteropodidae. The record is from RNAcentral.